GUCUACGGCCACGCCACCCUGAACAAGCCCGACCCCGUCUGCUCUCGGAAGCUAAGCAGGGUCGGGCCUGGUUAGUACUUGGAUGGGAGACCACCUAGGAAGACCAGGUGCUGUAGGCU
Molecule: ribosomal RNA, 119 nt
Filed under: Pteropus alecto (black flying fox)
Lineage: Eukaryota; Metazoa; Chordata; Mammalia; Chiroptera; Pteropodidae
Source: RNAcentral